Molecule: ribosomal RNA, 798 nt
Filed under: Triticum aestivum (bread wheat)
Lineage: Eukaryota; Viridiplantae; Streptophyta; Magnoliopsida; Poales; Poaceae
Description: partial small subunit ribosomal RNA
Source: RNAcentral
AUGUAUUACACCGACUGUGGUGGCGGCUGCUCUGAAGAAAACCUGCAGAUAUUUUCCAUUAAAGUGGAAUCGAUAAGAGGAGGUUUACGGUGGCCGCUAGACGUGUCUGGCAUCGUCACCGCGCGCGAUACUUUGGACACGGAUCGCAAGCGUAACAUUGUCUUCGCCCGUUCGAGGAGUAACUGCCAGACCAUCACAGAGGAGUGUCCGUAUCUAGAACUCACGGGUCCUACUCGUGGUGUUGUCGCUGAUUUCGAUCCGGGGAGCUUUGAGAUUGUGCUCAAAGCUAAGGGCGCAACCGAAUCUGAUGAUAGAGACCUCAGUUUUCUAGUCCUGCCAUUGAAAGAACACGAGUAUUGUAAAUAUGAUAGGUAUUAUACUAGCAGACGUAGCACACUGGAGUUAACACUCCGCCAUGUCGACAGAUCUGUGGAGGCGACAAUCCAUAUGCGACUCGUUGGUGGUUCAUCAUGGCCACGCGGUUUGCAAGGUGUAUUUACCGCCAGUAUUGGCAGUAUUGAUGAUGCUGAAGUUUCGUUGCUUUCUUUUCAAGAUGAUAAACUCCCAGUCAUUGCUGAUGAUGGCACCAUCAAGCUAACACGACGUGUUGUCUCUGUUGAACGCAAGCGUGGAGAGCUGAAAGUUUCUAUCAUGGCACAUUGUGCAAGUGAUGAGCAAGAUGCUACGACAGAUGACAUAGUUUUCACACCCAAGAACGCCGGUAGAAGUUGUGGUGUGCUUAACGUCGGCACGUGUAAGAUCCAAAUCACCGUGGCCUGGUCCCUUUUCGACUUGUAA